Neofelis nebulosa (Clouded leopard) is the source of this 884-nucleotide long non-coding RNA. RefSeq lists it as uncharacterized. The transcript is spliced from 3 exons. Lineage: Eukaryota; Metazoa; Chordata; Mammalia; Carnivora; Felidae. The record is from RefSeq and is a predicted model, not a curated record.
UGCAAAACGAUUCCCGCCAUAGCGUUAGCUGGUAUUUCCGGCCCCGGGCGGGCUCGCCGUUUCUUUUCUGUGCUGCGAACAUUUAAGACCGAGUCUCCUAGCAACUUUCCAGUACAUAAUACGGUCUGAUUAACUGUAAUCACCGCGCUGUACCUCAGAUGUCUAGAACUUACUCACACGCGCAAGUUUCUACCCUUUGACCAGCGUCUCCCCAAUUAGCAGCAGCCAGAUCUCGAAGAGGCUUGCAAAGUACGACAGGACUCUGGACUUACUUUCAUCCCGAGCACAACGAGAAAUACACAACCCAUAUACGUAGGAAAAAAAAAAAGACCUCACGCCACCACGUUGACUCACGGUUCGUUUCGUAAUUCGCAGCGUGGGUAGCUUACGGGUCUGGAAGCAAUGUCACCUACAGUGAGUCACAGGGCCGCAGGGCUGAGAGACGUCAAAGGAAAAUUCGAUGCCAGGAGGACAAAUCGGAGAAGCUCAAGGGGGAGCUAGCUAAUAUGCCAGCACAUGUCCCCGAGAACUGACUGAAGAGGAAGCAAAAGUGUGUGGAAAACUUUGCAGUUGAUGGGGCGGACCGAACAGAAACGCAGCAGCAUUGCACAAAUUCAUGGCUACGUUCGUGACUAAACUCGACGAGGUGGAUACAUUCAUUGGCUAAAAGGACUCGAGGGUCUUCGUAUCCCCUGAUGCCCUUGUCUGAGUCUGAGGAACCGGGGCCUCACCCACAGUGAGGCAUUUCCAUACUCUUGUGUCCUCCCGUCCUUCGAAUGCCCGGGCUCGAGUCCUUGCACAUGCGUGCCCUCCCCUCCUCCCCGCAUCCUGAAACCACCACCCAAAGGCGGGCAAGGUGACCUGCAACGGGAAGCCCAGUGGCU